CUUUUCCUUUCUCGCUCUUUCUUCCAGAACAGCCUUUAUACUUAGAAAGCAUAGCUGUAUUCUUAGAGAAUAGCUAAGCAUGUAGGACCACAACCAUCUUGAAGACCAUAAUAGUCGAGGGGCCAUCCCUCUUCCCACCACUCUAGAAGGGUACAGCAGUCACGGGAGAAGAUUAUAUUGAAGAUGAUCCUGCAGCAGCAGAUCAUACAUAUCGAUUUGUGAGGAAAAAAUUCAUCUUUUUCGUGCCCUGAUUGAAGAGGACCAACGAUUAACAGCAGAAACAAUAGCGAACACCAUAGACAUCUCAGUUGGUUCAACAUACACAAUUCUGACUGAAAAAUUAAAGCUCCCCACACAUCUAAAUAUUUUGUGAGGAGAUACUUUGAAAGGGUUUUCCUACCCUGUGCUGGUUCCUGUGGAUGUUUCUGCUCGGAGCUGGAGGAACUUCAGUAAGCUGAAGACUCUGUUCAGAGGAAAUUACCUAAUUGAAAAUGUCUGGGCUAAGAGACCGACAAUAAAGGAAACUGGCAAAAGUACUCUUUAAUUACAAGUUCUUUUUCAUCUUCAUCCAGCACACUGAUUUAUGUGCUACACUGGGUUUGUAUUAUAUCUAUAUUUUAAUUCCACAACUAGACACUAACUUUAUUGAGAACAGCGAUAUUCAUUUCUUCAAUUUCAUUUGUGUUAACCCAACUGUAGGUGAUAGUGCUCUGUACAUCAUAGUUACCCAGUGAAUUACGUACCUGACAUAUGAUUGCUUAUUUCUGGUAUUAAAACAAGAUUUCAUAAAAUAAACAUGACAAUUAAA
RNAcentral lists this long non-coding RNA (808 nucleotides) under Homo sapiens (human). RNAcentral describes it as "novel transcript". Lineage: Eukaryota; Metazoa; Chordata; Mammalia; Primates; Hominidae. The record is from RNAcentral.